UACGUAGGGGGCAAGCGUUGUCCGGAUUUAUUGGGCGUAAAGAGCGUGUAGGCGGCUAGAUAGGUCCGUUGUGAAAACUCGAGGCUCAACCUCGAGACGUCGAUGGAAACCAUCUGGCUAGAGUCCGGAAGAGGAGAGUGGAAUUCCUGGUGUAGCGGUGAAAUGCGCAGAUAUCAGGAAGAACAUCCGUGGCGAAGGCGGCUCUCUGGGACGUGACUGACGCUGAGACGCGAAAGCGUGGGGAGCAAACAGG
Molecule: ribosomal RNA, 253 nt
Filed under: uncultured bacterium
Lineage: Bacteria
Description: partial 16S ribosomal RNA
Rfam family: Bacterial small subunit ribosomal RNA
Source: RNAcentral